Molecule: ribosomal RNA, 495 nt
Filed under: uncultured bacterium
Lineage: Bacteria
Description: partial 16S ribosomal RNA
Rfam family: Bacterial small subunit ribosomal RNA
Source: RNAcentral
GAUGAACGCUGGCGGCGUGCCUAAUACAUGCAAGUCGAACGCAUAGCGAAAGGUGCUUGCCCCUUUCAAGUGAGUGGCGAACGGGUGAGUAACACGUGGACAACCUGCCUCAAGGCUGGGGAUAACAUUUGGAAACAGAUGCUAAUACCGAAUAAAACUUAGUGUCGCAUGACACAAAGUUAAAAGGCGCUUCGGCGUCACCUAGAGAUGGAUCCGCGGUGCAUUAGUUAGUUGGUGGGGUAAAGGCCUACCAAGACAAUGAUGCAUAGCCGAGUUGAGAGACUGAUCGGCCACUUUGGGACUGAGACACGGCCCACACUCCUACGGGAGGCUGCAGUAGGGAAUCUGCCACAAUGGGCGAAAGCCUGAUGGAGCAACGCCGCGUGUGAUGAAGGCUUUCGGGUCGUAAAGCACUGUUGUAUGGGAAGAACAGCUAGAAUAGGAAAUGAUUUUAGUUUGACGGUACCAUAACAGAAAGGGACGGCUAAAUACGUG